Molecule: long non-coding RNA, 1230 nt
Organism: Armigeres subalbatus
Lineage: Eukaryota; Metazoa; Arthropoda; Insecta; Diptera; Culicidae
Exons: 3
Source: RefSeq, a predicted model, not a curated record
UUUUAUUUAAAUUUUAAUAAUAUCGCAUUACGCUUCAGCCAUUUGUGGUCCGGAACAUCUUUAACAGUGACAACCAAACUUUUACAAGUUUUACGUUUUUAUAGAUUUUUUGGAAAAAGUUUCGUGCGAUAUCAAGAUCAUUUUGAAAACCCGGAGCAAUUCCCACCGCUGCAGUCAACAGUACUGUUUACUUUAUACGUCCGGGAUUCUAAAUCGCACAGAGUCUUGAAGAAGAGACCUAUGGAUCCAAGUGCUGUAUAAGGUGAAGAUCGGCUACUACUUAACGAGCAAACUAUUCGUGUUGAGCAAUUUCAUCGGAUGAGAUGCAAUUCCAUGGCGAUGGCUCGUACUCUGUUAAAAGGAAUGAUGCAGAAACAACCAAAACAGCAAGACAGCGGAACGGGAUGCCAACAGCAGUCAUUCAACGAAUCAAUAAAUUAAUUAAGGCACACAAAUUGCAAUAGAUUUUCGGGAAGAACAAUAAAAUGUUAAAUAUUUCUGAGUAGUCAUGUAAAUUAUAAAUUUAUUGACAAUUUUGAAAACAAUUACAAUACAAUUUAUUUUAAUAAAAAAAGGCAUCGUGAUAAUAAUGAAAAUAAUUAUUAAAACAAUAAAAAAUUUACGCUAUAUUCUAAAACCAAUCUUAUUGAAUCAAUGAGAGAAAUAUUGUUGAAACAACAAUAUUAUUAUUGUUAGCUAUUCCAACGUUACAGCGUUACCUCUAUAGCAAAGAUUCAUACCAAGGAAUUCAAACAUAUUUUCUUAUUGUUUCAACAAUAUGAUUUUCUAGAGAAUUUUGAAAACAAAAAUAAUUUCUUGUUACCGCCAAAACAAAGUAAAUUUCUGUUUGUCUUUACGUUGAAUAUUGUUGUUUUUAAAAUAUUUUUUUCUGCGUGUAGCACAUUUAUGUCCUGCUUCUUCAAAAAUUCAACAAAGGUAUGCGAGUUGAAUGGAGGACCACCAUCAGAGACUAAAACAUCAGGUAACCCGAAACGGGCAAAAAAUGCUAUCAAUUUCCUUAAGACUUUACCGCAGUCAGUACCUGUCUUCAUCCAAUCUAUUUCUACCCAUUUCGAGUGACUGUCCACAAUAAGUGAAAAUGUGUGAUGUGAAUAAGUGAAAAUGUGAAAUGAAAGAAAUCGAUGUGUACCCUACUGAACGGCCUUCAGUAGGAAUCCAUUGAAAUUUUUCUGAAGGUUUAAUGGGAAUUGCCAUACUAUUAUACUCUUC